GACGAACGCUGGCGGCGUGCUUAACACAUGCAAGUCGAACGGAAAGGCCCUGCUUUUGUGGGGUGCUCGAGUGGCGAACGGGUGAGUAACACGUGAGUACCCUGCCCUUGAUUUUGGGAUAACUUCAGGAAACUGGGGCUAAUACCGGAUAGGAGCUCCUGCUGCAUGGUGGGGGUUGGAAAGUUUCGGCGGUUGGGGAUGGACUCGCGGCUUAUCAGCUUGUUGGUGGGGUAGUGGCUUACCAAGGCUUUGACGGGUAGUCGGCCUGAGAGGGUGACCGGCCACAUUGGGACUGAGAUACGGCCCAGACUCCUACGGGAGGCAGCAGUGGGGAAUAUUGCACAAUGGGCGGAAGCCUGAUGCAGCAACGCCGCGUGCGGGAUGACGGCCUUCGGGUUGUAAACCGCUUUCGCCUGUGACGAAGCGUGAGUGACGGUAAUGGGUAAAGAAGCACCGGCUAACUACGUG
RNAcentral lists this ribosomal RNA (468 nucleotides) under uncultured bacterium. RNAcentral's name for it is "partial 16S ribosomal RNA". It matches the Rfam family "Bacterial small subunit ribosomal RNA", at positions 28 to 507 of the family's 1533-position model. The record is from RNAcentral.